Solanum lycopersicum (tomato) is the source of this 630-nucleotide long non-coding RNA. RefSeq lists it as uncharacterized. Lineage: Eukaryota; Viridiplantae; Streptophyta; Magnoliopsida; Solanales; Solanaceae. The record is from RefSeq and is a predicted model, not a curated record.
UUUCCCUAAUUUUUUUGGAGGGAAUACAAAUUGUAACUCCUUCCCUUUCAGAAUUCCCUCUCUCUUUUCUUUGUUCUUUUUCAAUUAGAACUCUGCCUCUCGCUUAAACAAAUUCCCACCAUGUCUCUCUUUUCAGUUAGGAUUUUUAUAUGACUCAGUCACAUCGAAAUGGCGCGGAAUAAAAAUUGAGAGCAACUCAGACCCCGACAGGAUGCUAACUAAUGAGUACCGACCGAAACAAUGCAAGCACAUACAAAGACUCUACUGGCAUAUAAUGCAAGAACGACAACUUCAACAAGCGGUAGCAAGUCUGAGUACCACUCCAAAGGUCAUCAACCAAGAAAUGAGUACAUUUAUUCACAAAGCAUAAACGAAGUGGAUGUGAUUUGUAGUUGUACCCCAAGGAAUGAAGUUAGAGAUGGAAUGGAAAUAAAAAUGGAUGUAGACAAUGUUAUUUGUUUUUUGGCUUAAGUCAUAUGUGGCCCUUUUAAGUUGUCUGCAUAAUUCAUUUAAGCACCUUAACUAAGGUUUGUACCUAUUAAACGCUUUAAUUAUUCAAAACUGUGUGUAUUGAGCACAAAAUGCUGACGUGGCUAAAUAAGUGUAUCUCACAGCCUAGUAGCGCGUGAA